AUUGAACGCUGGCGGCAGGCCUAACACAUGCCAGUCGAGCGGAUGAAGGGAGCUUGCUCCUGGAUUCAGCGGCGGACGGGUGAGUAAUGCCUAGGAAUCUGCCUGGUAGUGGGGGAUAACGUCCGGAAACGGGCGCUAAUACCGCAUACGUCCUGAGGGAGAAAGUGGGGGAUCUUCGGACCUCACGCUAUCAGAUGAGCCUAGGUCGGAUUAGCUAGUUGGUGGGGUAAAGGCCUACCAAGGCGACGAUCCGUAACUGGUCUGAGAGGAUGAUCAUUCACACUGGAACUGAGACACGGUCCAGACUCGUACGGGAGGCAGCAGUGGGGAAUAUUGGACAAUGGGCGAAAGCCUGAUCCAGCCAUGCCGCGUGUGUGAAGAAGGUCUUCGGAUUGUAAAGCACUUUAAGUUGGGAGGAAGGGCAGUAAGUUAAUACCUUGCUGUUUUGACGUUACCAACAGAAUAAGCACCGGCUAACUUCGUG
RNAcentral lists this ribosomal RNA (484 nucleotides) under uncultured bacterium. RNAcentral describes it as "partial 16S ribosomal RNA". It matches the Rfam family "Bacterial small subunit ribosomal RNA", at positions 30 to 507 of the family's 1533-position model. The record is from RNAcentral.